Molecule: ribosomal RNA, 759 nt
Filed under: Triticum aestivum (bread wheat)
Lineage: Eukaryota; Viridiplantae; Streptophyta; Magnoliopsida; Poales; Poaceae
Description: partial small subunit ribosomal RNA
Source: RNAcentral
AUGUUCGACUCGGGGGUUCUCGUGCCGUUCAAACUUCACUAUGAGGAGACGAAGGAGCUUUCCCCCGGCGACAUCGUCCACUCCGAGGUCGCCUACGCCGGGGGACACCGCUGGAGGAUUCGAUGCUACCCGCAGGGAAAGAAGAAGGCCGACAAGCAGGGCGAGUACAUCUCGAUCUUUCUCGAACUCAUGAGCAAGUGCAAAGGCGUCAAGGCCAUCUUCGAGGCUUUCGUGGUGGACAAGGACGCCGAGCCGUUUUCUUCCCAUGCAGAGCGGUGCGUGCAGGUUUACCCGCCGGAGGGAUUCGAUUCCUGGGGGUGGCCACAGUUCGCGAAGCGAAGCGAUCUCGAGUCUCAAUACGUGGUGAACGGGUGGGUCACGAUUGUAUGGGGAGUUGUAGUCGUGCGCGAUGACUCCAUAGCCGUGCCGUCCUCUGACAUAGAGAACCAUCUUGGCCGCCUCCUCGACUGCGGCGACGGUUCUGAUGUCUCCUUCGUCGUCGACGGCGAGACGUUUCCGGCGCACCGGGCCGUGCUCGCUGCCCGCUCGCCGGUCUUCAAGGCGGAGCUCUUCGGCUCUAUGGCGGAGUCCACGAUGUCGCGCGUCACAUUGGAAGACAUCGACCUCGCAACAUUUAAAGUUUUUCUUCGGUUCAUCUACACCGACGCCCUGCCCGGAGAUGACGAGCUGGAAGACUCGCUACUGAGAUGUAUGAGCGUCUGCUUGCCGUGGCCGACAGGUACGCCAUGGAUAGGUUAA